Molecule: long non-coding RNA, 417 nt
Organism: Passer domesticus (house sparrow)
Lineage: Eukaryota; Metazoa; Chordata; Aves; Passeriformes; Passeridae
Exons: 4
Source: RefSeq, a predicted model, not a curated record
CAUGGCGUCUGCCAUGAGCUCCUCUGUUCUCAGAGUGGGCACAAUCGGCUCGGCUUUUUUCCAUUGUACUGCCAAAAUUCACCGAUUUCGAGCACCAAAGGGAGCUUUUCAGAGGGAAUACAGAGGACUUAGGUGUGUCUGCAGGGAGGACUUGUCUAGCUGCUUUGCUGAUUCCUACACAAAAGCCCGGCUCCCAUGGCAGGGGUCCUCCGAGGGGAAAGAACAAAGCUACAGGACACCAGAAACCCCAUGAGCCAUCCAAAAACAUGAGGCAAAUGCUGAAAGAAUUGCUGCAGGGAGGAGGACAAGAAGUGGAUGGAGAGGCUGGGCAGAAGGCGGCGUUUACCGGAGGAAGCAGUGGUUCCGUGCCAGACUCUGCUGUAGGACUGGAGGCGAUGCCAGGCACAGUCACAGGAG